GGAGUUAGCCGGUGCUUCUUCUGUGAGUGAUGUCCUUCCUGCCGGUUAUUGACCCGCAGGCCUUCUUCCUCACUGAAAGUGCUUUACAACCCGAAGGCCUUCUUCACACACGCGGCAUGGCUGGAUCAGGGUUGCCCCCAUUGUCCAAUAUUCCCCACUGCUGCCUCCCGUAGGAGUCUGGGCCGUGUCUCAGUCCCAGUGUGGCUGAUCAUCCUCUCAGACCAGCUACGGAUCGUCGCCUUGGUGAGCCGUUACCUCACCAACCAGCUAAUCCGACAUAGGCUCAUCCGAUAGCGCGAGGCCCGAAGGUCCCCCGCUUUCCCCCGUAGGGCGUAUGCGGUAUUAGCCUGGGUUUCCCCAGGUUAUCCCCCACUACCGGGCAGAUUCCUAUGCAUUACUCACCCGUCCGCCGCUCGCCACCAGGGAGCAAGCUCCCCGUGCUGCCGCUCGACUUGCAUGUGUUAGGCCUGCCGCCAGCGUUCAAUCUGAACCAAGAUCAAAUUCUGA
Molecule: ribosomal RNA, 507 nt
Filed under: uncultured bacterium
Lineage: Bacteria
Description: partial 16S ribosomal RNA
Source: RNAcentral